UUUAUACUUAAAACCAAAAGUUUUCUAGUGGCUUUAUCAAUUUUAGCUAUAAAUAUAGUGGAAGAAAACAAUGAAAAAAAGAAAAAAGAAAAAGAGAGGUGGCCACCAUGUUAGGGUUUGGAACAUACACACAUGAGAAAGAAGAUGAUUACACAAUGUUUGUUCUACCAUAGAUUGAAGAAGAUGAUUACACAAUGUUUAUUCUACCACUGAUUAAAUUUUUAUGUUAAAAACAAAUAAAAAUAUAAUGUCUGGGCUUGAACUCAGGUUUAUUAUAAGAAUAUAAAGACAACUAACCACUUCUCUAUCACCAACGUUACGUUUGCUUUUAAAAUAUUUAAUAUUUAUCUAACAAAAUAAUAUAAAGUCUUAAAACUAGGUUUCAAUUAAACUCGUCUAAUCCACGAUUUUUUUGUUAGGUGCUAGGCUCGAGGUUACCGGACCCAUAACGCUUUCGAACGUUGGCAUAAACUCAAGAAAAUGAGCUGAAUUUUGUACAUACAAAAGCCAAAUCAAUAUUCUACUGUACAUCAAUAUUCUACUUUACGAACAUAUUUAUGAGAUUCAAUUGUACAUCUUUAUAUCCGCACACCCACUUAAAAAAUUCACUUAGACCUUCAGUGCAUAGUUAAACAUCAAAAAUAAAUGUAACCUUAACAUCUGUCUACAUCGCAUAGAUAUUAAAAAUCUGUGUCCAGCCUUAUUGACGAUCAAAAUUUCUCACUGUUAAAUUUUUCCCAACCAUCCUCCUUCUCCUCCCCACACUCCAUCAUAGGUUGCACAGUCAGCUGCAAAUAUAGAAACACGGCAAAUCAAAGCAAAAUCAAUACACAGCUCUAUUGCAAACUAUACAAGCAUAAUAUGCAAAGUAAACAUGUACACAUACGUUCAUAUAGUACACAUGUACACAUAAGUUCGUAGUGUACACAUGUACAUCACAUGUAGCAUGUACAACCUAAAACGUUCGUACAUGUGUACAACUAGUUACCUGAAUAUCAUACUCAGCCUCUAACACCUCCGCCUUCUUUGUUGCUGCCUCGUCCUCGAUUACAUACCAUCUUUAACCUCUCUGCCUCUUCACUACCUUCAAGCACACCCCUCACCAGCAGAAGGUACUCCAACGAUGAGUAGCAGUUAAGCCUCCUACUCGGAAACCAGACCGCCGCAAACAAACGGGUUGGUAUCCUAUCAUUCACCUCUUCCUCAACCGUCGUCGCUACCUCUGUACCGUGACAAGAAACUCGUCAAAUCCAAGAACAAUCUUACAUAGAAACCCUAAAUUUGAGCCAAUUGGAAAACCACAAAUAAACUCACCUUUUGCUUUCUCCUUUCCUGAGCGCUUCUUCUUCGUCGUCAUCGUCGAUUACGCAUGCAUACAUGGGCCGCCGUCGAUUUUGAUUUCGUCAUUUGUCUUUUUUUUCUCCGUCAUUCUCUCUCGCAGAAACUGUCACUUUUAAUUUUUUACAGAUAAAAAAAAAAUUAUUUGCCUUUUACGGGCUCAAGAAAUAAUUUAUCAAUUGGAUUUAACAUCCUAUGGGGUCCACCAACUAAUCGCUGCUUUAUUCAAAAUUCAAAAUCUGUAACCAGCCUUUUCUCAACCUAACUAGCAUUGAACAUCGUUUUACUUAAAUACCAAUCCUUGUUUUGCUUUUCAGAGGAUAAUUUGGUCUUCAACCACAUAAAAGUGUCUGUGUAGCACAAUGUACUCUCCAGGGUAAAUAAAACACAUAAAAUGACCAUUUGUGUUAACAACUCUUCCAUAGUAAUCCUCCUUCUAUUUUUUCAUUGGCUGAAACAAAAAGUGUGUGGAUUACAAAGUGUAGACCAUUGAUUUAAUUUAUUCAAUGGUUCAGAUUCAUUCAUCUGUGUUUCUUCCUCUCUCUCGCCUCUUUUUUAUACAAUCAGACCACAAUUCAGUAUUCUUUUUAAUUUCUUUUAUUCUUUUUUAAUUUCAGAUCUGAAACAAUUUUUUAAUCUUUGUCUUCUUCACUACUAUGACAUCAUCUCUCUAUGCACAUCUUUUUUCUUCUCUACAAUCUCAUCAAAGUCAAUAUGUGUGUCUUCCUCUCUCUCUCUCUCUCUUGUCUCUUUUGUUUCCAUCUGCCGCCAACCUCUCAUAUUCUUCUCUAUAUCGCAUCUCUUCUCCACCUCUGCUCAAGCUUGCCAACGUCUUCCCGUCACGGAUCUCGACCUGUCGCGAGCUCUACAUCUCUGCUGUCGCUAUCUUCUGAUAUGUCUCCCUCAACGACAGAGGAGGAGCAUCCCAUCUACUCUAUUAUCUCUCUAUCUUUUAGUUCUGUGGUGGCUAAGACUUAACCGUAACGCCUCCUCCUCUGUUCCGUGAAGAAGUGACGCCUCCCCCCUGCUUCGUGACAACUCUGCUCCUCUACUUUGUGACCGCUCUGCUACAAGUCUCUCUUCCUCUGUGUGCGGCCUCUCCUCCUCUCAAAUACGCUUCCUCUGCUCCUCUCCUCAACAACUAGCCGGAGAUGGGUCCUCCUCUGCGACAACCCUACAUCACGUCCUCGCUGAAGACUGCUUUGCUUUCCGUCAAAAGUCCCAUGGCGGCUCGUUGGAGAACAACCAAAUUAGGUUUAGGUGUGAACUGUGGAAUUUUUUUAGGUUUAGUUUUUUUUUAAUUUAGUUAAUUUUGUAAAACGAUUUUAAUUUAUAAACCAAAUUCAGUUAUUUUGUAAAUGAAAAUUAAUAAAUUAUAUUAUUUAAUUGUAUUUUUCGAAUUGUAUUUUUGUUUUUUUAUAAUAAUAUAAAUAAUAACAAAAAUUAUAUGCUACUAAAAAAUAUGUAAUUGCAAACAUACAAACGCUAUUGUAUAUGAUAAUAAAAUAGCAGUACAAAAACCGCUAUCUAAUGUGUCUUACCUACUAUCACGGGCGAUGAUACAUCACUUCAUAAACCGCUAUCGUAUCGUUAGAUAGAGUUUUUUGGCCGCUAACUAAAGCCAUUUUUCUUGUAGUGAGUAAUAAAAAAAAACGGCUUUACAAUAUGAAAUUUUUGAUAAAAAUCAAUGGUCAGCCAAUAGAUAAAAUAAGCCAUGUAAAUAGUAGACAAAUCAACACCAAAAAACUUUUAAAACAAUCGCGUGUCAAGCCUUGAAAAAUCUAACUACUGAGUAUGAGAUGGCUUAAAUCCCUGUUCAAAAAUGCGGCGCCUAAAACAGCUUACUCGCCGAAAAAUCGUUCGUCGGCCCCCAACCGCCAUGAUUUGGUACCAAUAGGACAAAAACUCAGCGAUCUUUAAAAAAAACUCAAGAUUUUGUUCAUCUAUUCUAUUAAAAUAGGAACAUGACCUAUUGAUAUAGGUGUGGUCCAACUAUUUUAAUACAAUCAUUAAAAAAUUUUAUUAAUCCGUUAAGAGAAAUAUUAUACAAAAAAACACAAAUAUGACUAAAACACAAAUACAAAAAUUAAAUUGCUAAAAAAUGUAAAAUAAAACCAUACCCGCCCUUCUACUAAAAUAGGAACAUGACCUAUUUAUAUAGGUGUGGUCCAACUAUUUUAAUAUAAUUAUUAAAAUAUUUUAUUAAUCAUUUAAGAGAAAUAUUAUACAAAAACACAACUACGACUAAAAAACACAAAUACAAAAAAUAAAUUUCACAAAAAAAAGUAAAACAAAAAUACACCCGCCCUUUUAAAGACAGGUCAGAAACUUGUUUAUACUUAAAACCAAAAGUUUUCUAGUGGCUUUAUCAAUUUUAGCUAUAAAUAUAGUGGAAGAAAACAAUGAAAAAAAGAAAAAAGAAAAAGAGAGGUGGCCACCAUGUUAGGGUUUGGAACAUACACACAUGAGAAAGAAGAUGAUUACACAAUGUUUGUUCUACCAUAGAUUGAAGAAGAUGAUUACACAAUGUUUAUUCUACCACUGAUUAAAUUUUUAUGUUAAAAACAAAUAAA
This 3911-nucleotide long non-coding RNA is filed under the name Brassica rapa (field mustard). RNAcentral describes it as "long non-coding RNA (BRAP_LNC007622)". The record is from RNAcentral. Lineage: Eukaryota; Viridiplantae; Streptophyta; Magnoliopsida; Brassicales; Brassicaceae.